GACGAGUCUCACGAACGUUAUUCGGAAUUACUGGGCUUAAAGGGUGCGUAGGCGGUGGAGUAAGUCGGAUGUGAAAUACCUUAGCUUAACUAGGGAACUGCACUCGAUACUACUUUGCUAGAGUAAGACAGAGGUGAGUGGAACUGAGGGUGGAGCGGUGAAAUGCGUUGAUAUCCUCAGGAACACCGGUGGCGAAGGCGACUCACUGGGUCUUUAUUGACGCUGAUGCACGAAAGCUAGGGGAGCAAACAGG
This 253-nucleotide ribosomal RNA is filed under the name uncultured bacterium. Its description in RNAcentral is "partial 16S ribosomal RNA". It matches the Rfam family "Bacterial small subunit ribosomal RNA", at positions 524 to 776 of the family's 1533-position model. The record is from RNAcentral.